Molecule: ribosomal RNA, 492 nt
Filed under: uncultured bacterium
Lineage: Bacteria
Description: partial 16S ribosomal RNA
Rfam family: Bacterial small subunit ribosomal RNA
Source: RNAcentral
AGUGAACGCUGGCGGUAGGCCUAACACAUGCAAGUCGAACGGCAGCACAGUAAGAGCUUGCUCUUACGGGUGGCGAGUGGCGGACGGGUGAGGAAUACAUCGGAAUCUACUUUUUCGUGGGGGAUAACGUAGGGAAACUUACGCUAAUACCGCAUACGACCUACGGGUGAAAGCAGGGGAUCUUCGGACCUUGCGCGAUUGAAUGAGCCGAUGUCGGAUUAGCUAGUUGGCGGGGUAACGGCCCACCAAGGCGACGAUCCGUAGCUGGUCUGAGAGGAUGAUCAGCCACACUGGAACUGAGACACGGUCCAGACUCCUACGGGAGGCAGCAGUGGGGAAUAUUGGACAAUGGGCGAAAGCCUGAUCCAGCCAUGCCGCGUGUGUGAAGAAGGUCUUCGGAUUGUAAAGCACUUUUAGUGGGGAGGAAAGGCAGUAAGUUAAUACCCCGCUGUUUUGACGUUACCAAAAGAAUAAGCACGGGCUAACUUCGUG